AUGGAAUACUCCUACCCAAUCCUCAUCUCAUUCCUGCGCAAUCUUACUGAUGAGCAGUGGCAAGUGAUCUACAAAGGACUAAAAAACCCUAUGACGAAGGAACAGCUUGCCAAAUUGUGCAAGACAAUUGUAACCUUCAUCGCACAGACCACCCUGCAGAUCCUGCUGCCAGCCCUGGCCCGCGUACUUGGGGUAAAGGACUUUGCUGACGACGACACUGACUCACCCAAGAGGGGUGGUAGUGCAAGAUCCUUUGCUGCCUUUGACAAGGAAAGACUGGAGCUCAUCCAGGAAGUUAGAUAUCUGGCGAAGAAAAUGUACAAGGGCGGCACAGGGGCUCAACAUCUCAGGUCCCUAACACCCUCUUCUAAGAGGUAUGUUCCCCUCAAGGUUUUCAUGUAUGGAUUUCACCAAGAUCAUCUAUCCAGUGUUAGCCAAUGCAAUUUACUCUAUCUGAUGUAGUACAAAAUGUAAUGUAUCAGCCUUUGAGCAUAUUCAAAUUAAUGAGCAUGUAAAGCGAUCAAAAGGACAUGUAGAUAUUUAGAAUACUAAAAUUACAACGCUUGACCGAUUUGCCAAGUUAAGACAGGAAUUAUCAUGCUUUGCUUGUUCGUUUUAAAGUUCCCAGACCU
Molecule: long non-coding RNA, 632 nt
Filed under: Oncorhynchus kisutch (coho salmon)
Lineage: Eukaryota; Metazoa; Chordata; Actinopteri; Salmoniformes; Salmonidae
Description: lncRNA (ENSOKIG00005026127.1)
Source: RNAcentral